Molecule: ribosomal RNA, 1083 nt
Filed under: Actinomyces oris
Lineage: Bacteria; Bacillati; Actinomycetota; Actinomycetes; Actinomycetales; Actinomycetaceae
Description: bacterial SSU rRNA
Rfam family: Bacterial small subunit ribosomal RNA
Source: RNAcentral
UGGUGGGUGGGUUGACGGUAGCUGGAUAAGAAGCGCCGGCUAACUACGUGCCAGCAGCCGCGGUAAUACGUAGGGCGCGAGCGUUGUCCGGAAUUAUUGGGCGUAAAGAGCUCGUAGGCGGCUGGUCGCGUCUGUCGUGAAAUCCUCUGGCUUAACUGGGGGCUUGCGGUGGGUACGGGCCGGCUUGAGUGCGGUAGGGGAGGCUGGAACUCCUGGUGUAGCGGUGGAAUGCGCAGAUAUCAGGAAGAACACCGGUGGCGAAGGCGGGUCUCUGGGCCGUUACUGACGCUGAGGAGCGAAAGCGUGGGGAGCGAACAGGAUUAGAUACCCUGGUAGUCCACGCCGUAAACGUUGGGCACUAGGUGUGGGGGGCCUUUUCCGGGUUUUCCGCGCCGUAGCUAACGCAUUAAGUGCCCCGCCUGGGGAGUACGGCCGCAAGGCUAAAACUCAAAGGAAUUGACGGGGGCCCGCACAAGCGGCGGAGCAUGCGGAUUAAUUCGAUGCAACGCGAAGAACCUUACCAAGGCUUGACAUGUGCCGGUCGGCUCCGGAGACGGGGUUUCCUCCUUGUGGGGCCGGUUCACAGGUGGUGCAUGGUUGUCGUCAGCUCGUGUCGUGAGAUGUUGGGUUAAGUCCCGCAACGAGCGCAACCCUUGUCUCGUGUUGCCAGCACGUUGUGGUGGGGACUCGCGGGAGACUGCCGGGGUCAACUCGGAGGAAGGUGGGGAUGACGUCAAAUCAUCAUGCCCCUUAUGUCUUGGGCUUCACGCAUGCUACAAUGGCCGGUACAGAGGGCUGCGAUACUGUGAGGUGGAGCGAAUCCCUUAAAGCCGGUCUCAGUUCGGAUCGGUGUCUGCAACUCGACACCGUGAAGUUGGAGUCGCUAGUAAUCGCAGAUCAGCAACGCUGCGGUGAAUACGUUCUCGGGCCUUGUACACACCGCCCGUCACGUCAUGAAAGUCGGCAACACCCGAAGCCCGUGGCCUUAUGGGGAGCGGUCGAAGGUGGGGCUGGUGAUUGGGACGAAGUCGUAACAAGGUAGCCGUACCGGAAGGUGCGGCUGGAUCACCUCCUUUCUAAGGA